AGAGUUUGAUCCUGGCUCAGAUUGAACGCUGGCGGCAGGCCUAACACAUGCGAGUCGAGCGCGAAAGCACUUCGGUGUGAGUAGAGCGGCGGACGGGUGAGUAACGCGUAGGAAUCUACCUGGUAGUGGGGGACAACUCGGGGAAACUCGAGCUAAUACCGCAUACGCCCUACGGGGGAAAGCGGGGGACCUUCGGGCCUCGUGCUAUCAGAUGAGCCUGCGUUGGAUUAGCUAGUUGGUGGGGUAAUGGCCUACCAAGGCGACGAUACAUAGCUGGUCUGAGAGGAUGAUCAGCCACACCGGGACUGAGACACGGCCCGGACUCCUACGGGAGGCAGCAGUGGGGAAUAUUGCGCAAUGGGCGAAAGCCUGACGCAGCCAUGCCGCGUGUGUGAAGAAGGCCUUCGGGUUGUAAAGCACUUUCAAUUGGGAGGAAAGGUCAACGAUUAAUACUCGUUGGCUGUGACGUUACCUUUAGAAGAAGCACCGGCUAACUCCGUGCCAGCAGCCGCGGUAAUACGGAGGGUGCAAGCGUUAUCGGAAUUACUGGGCGUAAAGCGCGCGUAGGCGGCUUGUUAAGUCGGAUGUGAAAGCCCCGGGCUCAACCUGGGAACUGCACCCGAUACUGGCAAGCUAGAGUGCGAGAGAGGGAGGUGGAAUUCCAUGUGUAGCGGUGAAAUGCGUAGAUAUAUGGAGGAACACCAGUGGCGAAGGCGGCCUCCUGGCUCGACACUGACGCUGAGGUGCGAAAAGCGUGGGUAGCAAACAGGAUUAGAUACCCUGGUAGUCCACGCCGUAAACGAUGCCUACUAGCUGUUGGGGUACUUGAAACCUUGGUAGCGCAGCUUAAC
RNAcentral lists this ribosomal RNA (851 nucleotides) under uncultured bacterium. RNAcentral describes it as "bacterial SSU rRNA". It matches the Rfam family "Bacterial small subunit ribosomal RNA", at positions 8 to 856 of the family's 1533-position model. The record is from RNAcentral.